AAUGGGCGAAAGCCUGAUCCAGCCAUGCCGCGUGUGUGAAGAAGGUCUUCGGAUUGUAAAGCACUUUAAGUUGGGAGGAAGGGCAGUAAGUUAAUACCUUGCUGUUUUGACGUUACCAACAGAAUAAGCACCGGCUAACUUCGUGCCAGCAGCCGCGGUAAUACGAAGGGUGCAAGCGUUAAUCGGAAUUACUGGGCGUAAAGCGCGCGUAGGUGGUUCAGCAAGUUGGAGGUGAAAUCCCCGGGCUCAACCUGGGAACUGCCUCCAAAACUACUGAGCUAGAGUACGGUAGAGGGUAGUGGAAUUUCCUGUGUAGCGGUGAAAUGCGUAGAUAUAGGAAGGAACACCAGUGGCGAAGGCGACUACCUGGACUGAUACUGACACUGAGGUGCGAAAGCGUGGGGAGCAAA
Molecule: ribosomal RNA, 410 nt
Filed under: uncultured bacterium
Lineage: Bacteria
Description: bacterial SSU rRNA
Rfam family: Bacterial small subunit ribosomal RNA
Source: RNAcentral